This 500-nucleotide ribosomal RNA is filed under the name uncultured bacterium. Its description in RNAcentral is "partial 16S ribosomal RNA". It matches the Rfam family "Bacterial small subunit ribosomal RNA", at positions 30 to 523 of the family's 1533-position model. The record is from RNAcentral.
AUUGAACGCUGGCGGCAUGCCUUACACAUGCAAGUCGAACGGCAGCACGGGAGCAAUCCUGGUGGCGAGUGGCGAACGGGUGAGUAAAGUAUCGGAACGUGCCCAGUCGUGGGGGAUAACGUAGCGAAAGUUACGCUAAUACCGCAUACGAUCUAUGGAUGAAAGCGGGGGAUCGCAAGACCUCGCGCGAUUGGAGCGGCCGAUAUCAGAUUAGGUAGUUGGUGGGGUAAAGGCUCACCAAGCCAACGAUCUGUAGCUGGUCUGAGAGGACGACCAGCCACACUGGGACUGAGACACGGCCCAGACUCCUACGGGAGGCAGCAGUGGGGAAUUUUGGACAAUGGGCGAAAGCCUGAUCCAGCCAUGCUGCGUGCAGGAUGAAGGCCUUCGGGUUGUAAACUGCUUUUGUACAGAACGAAAAGGCUCUGGUUAAUACCCGGGGCUCAUGACGGUACUGUAAGAAUAAGCACCGGCUAACUACGUGCCAGCCGCCGCCGUAA